Long non-coding RNA from Suricata suricatta (meerkat), 1011 nucleotides. RefSeq lists it as uncharacterized. The transcript has 2 exons. NCBI's taxonomy places the organism in Eukaryota, Metazoa, Chordata, Mammalia, Carnivora, Herpestidae. The record is from RefSeq and is a predicted model, not a curated record.
UAAGAAAACAUGAAGUUGCUUUCAUCACUGAAGAACCUUGGCCAAUUUUCUGUAGAUCUUCUCUAACUAAUCUCACCUGGUCUGCCAGAAGAGGCAUGAAGAAAAGACGCCGCCCCUGCGCCAUAGUGUGAUUGCUUAGAACUUCCUGUACAAAAAGGAAUCAUGUGAAAGCACCUGCGAUGGUUUCUAAGUUUGACAGGAUUCUCUUUUUCCUGGUUUCUCUUUAGAGGGAAAAAUAACAUAAAUUUAAAAGCAAUUCCAGUCUGAAGCAGAAUUAAUCUGCUUGUAUAACAAAAUCUCUCAUCUUUUUCUGCAUAUUACUAUUCUUAGAGGAGUUAAAAAGAAUAUACUUUUUAAUGUCUUAGAACUCUCUAACAAUAAAAAGUACAAGAAUUAAAAUUUCUCUUUCAUAUUCUUAUAAUUUUCCAAAAGUCUUAAAAUCAGUAUUUCUAUGUUUGAGUGAUUUUUUUUUUUCAAAAAUGUUAAAUCUGAACUCAAAUGCACUGAUCAUUUGGCAUUACAGAAUAGGGAUAAGUCAGUUGUUUCAUCGAUUAAUUAUAUAGAGAGACUAAGAAAGAAGCUACUGACUGCUACCAUUUAUAUUUUAUGGGCUUUAAUGUUUACGAAAGUAUUUUUUAAUUUUAAAUAACAUCAAUGAAGUUGUAAAGAAAGUUUGAAAUACCAACUGAAAUGAUCAUUUCUGAAUCUAUUUCUCAUUAUGUAAUUAUAAGAACCUAAUGUUUGAUUUCCUUUGAAGUCCUGUUAGAUUGUUCUACCUUGUUAAAUACACUCUUACUUUGUAUUCAUUGAAAAGAUUGCUCAAUGCCAUGAAGUUUUUAUUUUACCAUAAGUUAUUCCAGGUAGGAAAUUUACAAAUUUUUUUCUUGAUUAGAAAUUUUGCUUUGUAAACAUUAUAGAGUAGGAGAAGCCAUAAGUCAUUAACCCUUAUUUUGCGAAAAUAAAAGAUUGGGAUUGCUAUACUAUAAAGAAUUUGAGUUAGAAAUUCUGAAA